This is a long non-coding RNA of Arachis ipaensis, 516 nucleotides long. RefSeq lists it as uncharacterized. The record is from RefSeq and is a predicted model, not a curated record. Lineage: Eukaryota; Viridiplantae; Streptophyta; Magnoliopsida; Fabales; Fabaceae.
AAAUUACAAUUAUGAGCAAGUUGCAUUAUUUAAAAUCCUGAAAUAGGAGCACGCUUCUAUAAAUUGGAUUUCAAUAUAUGGAAAUUCCAGUACAGAUCCAGACAUGGCACAUAACAUGUUUAUCUCUUUCGUGGUUAUGCUGUUGCUGAGUCCCCCUUUUCUCUCUGUAGCAGCAUCUUCUGGAAACGAAUUUAAUGAAUUAGCGUCACUGCUGGGAAGAAAACUGCUUCAGUGUGCGUGUCCGCUGACAUUUUGCAUUUGUGGCUCUAAUUCCAGUCCAUAAGAUAGGUUCAUCACUUCAUUGUGACGUCCAUAUGAAAUAAAUACAACUAAUUAAAGUUGUUGUGGCUUCGUUAAUUAGUUUUAUUAAACAAUGAAGGGUGCUAGUAUAUAUUUAUAUGAAUAUAUAAGCAAGUAGUUAUCAUGUUUCAUUUUAUCUACAGCACUAUUUAUUUCUUAAAUAAAUAAAAUUUGUACUUUAUGAUUGCUUCUAUAAAAUUCAAGUUAUUCUACUUA